CUACGUGCCAGCAGCCGCGGUAAUACGGAGGAUGCGAGCGUUAUUCGGAAUCAUUGGGUUUAAAGGGUCUGUAGGCGGGCUAUUAAGUCAGGGGUGAAAGGUUUCAGCUUAACUGAGAAAUUGCCUUUGAUACUGGUAGUCUUGAAUAUCUGUGAAGUUCUUGGAAUGUGUAGUGUAGCGGUGAAAUGCUUAGAUAUUACACAGAACACCGAUUGCGAAGGCAGGGGACUAACAGACAAUUGACGCUGAGAGACGAGAGCGUGGGGAGCGAACAGGAUUAGAUACCCUGGUAGUCCACGCUGUAAACGAUGGAUACUAGCUGUUUGGCGCAAGCUGAGUGGCUAAGCGAAAGUGAUAAGUAUCCCACCUGGGGAGUACGCACGCAAGUGUGAAACUCAAAGGAAUUGACGGGGGCCCGCACAAGCGGUGGAGCAUGUGGUUUAAUUCGAUGAUACGCGAGGAACCUUACCAAGGUUUAAAUGGAGACUGACAGGUGUAGAGAUACG
This 506-nucleotide ribosomal RNA is filed under the name uncultured bacterium. Its description in RNAcentral is "bacterial SSU rRNA". It matches the Rfam family "Bacterial small subunit ribosomal RNA", at positions 501 to 1010 of the family's 1533-position model. The record is from RNAcentral.